UUGGCUUUCUCAAACAUCUGUAGUGCGUAUCCAGAUUAUCGACUUCCUGAAAGAGUAAGUUUUGAGAAUUUGGAUUAUUUAUCAUUUUCAAUUUAAGGCCGUUUUCGCAUAGUUUUGAUUUAUGCUCAUAAA
Molecule: small nucleolar RNA, 132 nt
Organism: Caenorhabditis elegans
Lineage: Eukaryota; Metazoa; Nematoda; Chromadorea; Rhabditida; Rhabditidae
Source: Ensembl